RNAcentral lists this small RNA (98 nucleotides) under Escherichia coli. RNAcentral's name for it is "partial RtT sRNA". It matches the Rfam family "RtT RNA", at positions 1 to 94 of the family's 130-position model. Rfam says of the family: This family represents a bacterial cis-regulatory element known as RtT RNA. The exact function of RtT is unknown although it is thought that it may be involved in changing the cellular response in relation to amino acid starvation. The record is from RNAcentral. Lineage: Bacteria; Pseudomonadati; Pseudomonadota; Gammaproteobacteria; Enterobacterales; Enterobacteriaceae.
UGCAUCUGCAGCCCAUGAGGAUGAGAACCUCCGGGGGCAGGGAGGUUCGACUCGAGCGAAGCGAGAGAACGUUGCGCCAGCAACGGCCCGCAGGGCGA